This 484-nucleotide ribosomal RNA is filed under the name uncultured bacterium. RNAcentral's name for it is "partial 16S ribosomal RNA". It matches the Rfam family "Bacterial small subunit ribosomal RNA", at positions 30 to 507 of the family's 1533-position model. The record is from RNAcentral.
AUUGAACGCUGGCGGCAGGCCUAACACAUGCAAGUCGAGCGGAUGAAGGGAGCUUGCUCCUGGAUUCAGCGGCGGACGGGUGAGUAAUGCCUAGGAAUCUGCCUGGUAGUGGGGGAUAACGUCCGGAAACGGGCGCUAAUACCGCAUACGUCCUGAGGGAGAAAGUGGGGGAUCUUCGGACCUCACGCUAUCAGAUGAGCCUAGGUCGGAUUAGCUAGUUGGUGGGGUAAAGGCCUACCAAGGCGACGAUCCGUAACUGGUCUGAGAGGAUGAUCAGUCACACUGGAACUGAGACACGGUCCAGACUCCUACGGGAGGCAGCAGUGGGGAAUAUUGGACAAUGGGCGAAAGCCUGAUCCAGCCAUGCCGAGUGUGUGAAGAAGGUCUUCGGAUUGUAAAGCACUUUAAGUUGGGAGGAAGGGAAGUAAGUUAAUACCUUGAUGUUUUGACGUUACCAACAGAAUAAGCACCGGCUAACUUCGUG